CUAGCAUCACUAGUAUUAGAGGCACUGCCUGCCCAGUGACACACGUUUAACGGCCGCGGUACUCUGACCGUGCAAAGGUAGCAUAAUCACUUGUUCUUUAAAUAAGGACUCGUAUGAAUGGCACCACGAGGGUUUAACUGUCUCUUACUUUUGACCAGUGAAAUUGACCUGUCCGUGAAGAGACGGACAUGAAACAAUAAGACGAGAAGACCCUGUGGAGCUUCAAUCUACUAGCACAACUAAAAACCAUGCAAACCAACAGGCCCCUAAACUCCUAUACCUGUACUAAAGAUUUCGGUUGGGGUGACCUCGGAGCACAACUAAACCUCCGAAUAAUCCAUGAUAAGACCACACAAGUCAAAACAAACACACUUACAAUUGAUCCAAUAACUUGAUCAACGGAACAAGUUACCCCAGGGAUAACAGCGCAAUUCUAUUCUAGAGUCCAUAUCGACAAUAGAGUUUACGACCUCGAUGUUGGAUCAGGAUAUCCUAAUGGUGCAGCAGCUAUCA
RNAcentral lists this ribosomal RNA (513 nucleotides) under Cercopithecus nictitans (white-nosed guenon). RNAcentral's name for it is "partial 16S ribosomal RNA". It matches the Rfam family "Bacterial large subunit ribosomal RNA", at positions 1826 to 2567 of the family's 2925-position model. The record is from RNAcentral. Lineage: Eukaryota; Metazoa; Chordata; Mammalia; Primates; Cercopithecidae.